GUUGCGUUGAUCUGAAAUUUGCUUCUUGUGGUGAGGAUUCUGAUGAGAUCAUCGUCGUUGUAACAUUUGUCAUCGAGUUUCUCAUGGAGCAAUUUGGCUUCGGUUUUCGCAAGUGUCAUGUUCACUUCGCUUCCUUCAUAACGACAUGUAGCAACUAGAGGCAACAACAGCUACAGGAAAAUAACAUUAUUAUUGUUGAUGAUGAUGAAGGUUGUAGUUGUACUUUGUGUUUAGGUGUUUGUACCUUUCGGAAGUCUCCUUUUGUGAGAUAGGCGAUAUCUUCUUCCAUGGAUUUCUUAUAGCGAGCAUGGUAAGCUUGCUUUGCGAGAAGGAGAUCGUGUGAGGAUCUUGUGCAAACUACUUCCACAACGACUUGAUUGCUUUUUGUCCAUCUUUUUGUAGCUUCGUUGACUAAAUACGCAUCACGUUCUGGAGGACUAAGUAUCCAAAGAAGAACAAGUUUCUACAUAAAUUAAGAACAAUGGAACAUAUUAGAUGAUUAGAAAUUCUGUGAAUUUUCAUUUGUGGGUAUAGGAUUAGGGUUUACAAACCUCAAAGUCAUUUGAGAGUUCUUUGUCGAGUGAUUUGAGGAGGUCUUCGUUGUGGGUUGCAGCAUAAGUUUCGCGGAUUUGUUUGCGUUGUUCAGCAUCUCGGUGAGCUAAAAUUGAGAUGAUCAAUUUCUCGUUGGUUCCCCAUCCUUCAAAAUGCAAGUUGAUCACAAAACGAAAUUAGUUAGCAGAUGAAAUACAGAUUCAAGAAUAAUUGGGAAGAACGAGUGAUGAGAAAACAGGGGAGGAUAAUCAAUCGAGAUGGAGUCGAUAUUGAUUAGAUUAAAAUGGAUCAACGGAAAGCAGAGUUGAAAUCAUCAGAUCGAGAUUCACACAGAUUAAUUAUUGUUUUUGUAAUAUGAAAGAUCAGAUUCAUGGUUAUAUUUCCGAAGACUAAGUCAGAAUUGUUUCAACGCCAUGGAUAUACCUUUUUCUUCAGACAAUUUCUCUGAUGAACAAAUUAGAGUGCAUCAUAGAGUGGAUGACAGUGACAUUAUCCAUUUAUCCUAGGCGUAUUCAUGGACACAUUUUCCCUUCAGAAAUUUCUCCAUAGAUGGAUUGAGAGGUAACAAAACACUGAAGAAUCACACACACGUUUCGAUCAAGUGAUGGACGUGGAAUGAAACGGAAUCGGAGGAAAAUCGUAAGUCCGAAUUGAAUGAAUAUAGAAGAUCUAAGAUAGACUAAACGACAUGAAACAAAAUCGGAUGAAAAACGUGUGUCCAAAAUUGAGUGGAUAACAUUUACGAAGAUCUGAAGCUUAUGUCAACGCCAUAUAGACUUAGUUACUUCAGAAAUAUCUCCAUAAACGGAUUAAAGUGCAACAUAACAUUGAACAAUCAAGCAGGUUAAGAGCUUCAGAUCAAGUAACGCAUAUGAAUUGAAACAAAAUCGGAUAAAAAGCAUAGUUCCAAAUCCAGUGGAUAUCAGUGAUAAGAUCUGAUGAACACAAACAUUGGGAGAGAGACGAAGAGGUAUACCUGAGAAGGCUUUAUGGAGCUGUUCAACGUCGUCGGUGAUGGAGGUAGCAUGUGCUGGAACAAUGAUCGUCGACAUUUUCUUCGGUUAUCUUUUUGCUUUGAA
This 1631-nucleotide long non-coding RNA is filed under the name Lactuca sativa (garden lettuce). RNAcentral's name for it is "long non-coding RNA (LSAT_LNC009296)". The record is from RNAcentral. Lineage: Eukaryota; Viridiplantae; Streptophyta; Magnoliopsida; Asterales; Asteraceae.